This 253-nucleotide ribosomal RNA is filed under the name uncultured bacterium. RNAcentral describes it as "partial 16S ribosomal RNA". It matches the Rfam family "Bacterial small subunit ribosomal RNA", at positions 524 to 776 of the family's 1533-position model. The record is from RNAcentral.
UACGAAGGGGGCUAGCGUUGUUCGGAAUUACUGGGCGUAAAGAGCGCGUAGGCGGAUCGCCAAGUUGGGGGUGAAAGCCCGGAGCUCAACCCCGGAACUGCCUUCAAAACUGGUAGGCUCGAGUCCGGAAGAGGGGAGUGGAAUUCCCAGUGUAGAGGUGAAAUUCGUAGAUAUUGGGAAGAACACCGGUGGCGAAGGCGGCGCCCUGGUCCGGUACUGACGCUGAGGAGCGAAAGCGUGGGGAGCAAACAGG